UACGUAGGUGGCGAGCGUUUGUCCGGAUUUACUGGGCGUAAAGAGCGCGCAGGCGGUCGUUCAAGUCGCGUGUGAAAGCCCUCGGCUCAACUGGGGAGGGUCACGCGAUACUGAUCGACUCGAAGGCAGGAGAGGGUAGUGGAAUUCCCGGUGUAGUGGUGAAAUGCGUAGAUAUCGGGAGGAACACCAGUGGCGAAGGCGACUACCUGGCCUGUUCUUGACGCUGAGGCGCGAAAGCUAGGGGAGCAAACGGG
RNAcentral lists this ribosomal RNA (254 nucleotides) under uncultured bacterium. RNAcentral describes it as "partial 16S ribosomal RNA". It matches the Rfam family "Bacterial small subunit ribosomal RNA", at positions 524 to 776 of the family's 1533-position model. The record is from RNAcentral.